GGGGAAUUUUGGACAAUGGGCGCAAGCCUGAUCCAGCCAUGCCGCGUGCAGGAUGAAGGCCUUCGGGUUGUAAACUGCUUUUGUACGGAACGAAAAGGUGCCUUCUAAUAAAGGGCGCUCAUGACGGUACCGUAAGAAUAAGCACCGGCUAACUACGUGCCAGCAGCCGCGGUAAUACGUAGGGUGCAAGCGUUAAUCGGAAUUACUGGGCGUAAAGCGUGCGCAGGCGGUUUUGUAAGACAGAGGUGAAAUCCCCGGGCUCAACCUGGGAACUGCCUUUGUGACUGCAAGGCUGGAGUGCGGCAGAGGGGGAUGGAAUUCCGCGUGUAGCAGUGAAAUGCGUAGAUAUGCGGAGGAACACCGAUGGCGAAGGCAAUCCCCUGGGCCUGCACUGACGCUCAUGCACGAAAGCGUGGGGAGCAAACA
This 426-nucleotide ribosomal RNA is filed under the name uncultured Comamonadaceae bacterium. RNAcentral's name for it is "bacterial SSU rRNA". It matches the Rfam family "Bacterial small subunit ribosomal RNA", at positions 356 to 774 of the family's 1533-position model. Lineage: Bacteria; Pseudomonadati; Pseudomonadota; Betaproteobacteria; Burkholderiales; Comamonadaceae. The record is from RNAcentral.